UAUGCUAGGAAUAUGCUAUAUGGAAGGUCUAUAAAUACCACCAUACCAUAACUCCAUCAUUCCACACUCAACACUACACUCCAUCUCCUCCCUCCUUCCCCAAAUCGGCAGCCAUCAACCACCACCCUACCACCAUCAUUCGACCUUGUUCCAUCCAUUCUAUUACCAUACAAGGGUGCAAGGAGACACACAACGAAGCUUGGUGCGUUCGGAAGUCGAAGGACCGCUCUUGUUUUCUUUUAUCCACCACUUUUCUACACUCGAACACCCCUAGCCUUGUGCUAGUAGGCGGAUAAACAAUUUGAGGGAUUGUGUUAACAUUUAAAAAUGCACCCGAAGGUGAAGUUGCUUAGUCUUGAUUGCGAAUAGGAAGCAUGCUCACUUAGGACCGGACGAGGCCUUAGUGGUUUAAUAAUGAUAUUAGUCUAUGUUUGAUUUGCUUGUUUAACUUUAAAACCAUGUUUAAUAUUUAAUGAAAUGAAACUCUUCGUAUCCAUGGUUUGAAACAAUAAUUCUGUUACAACACUCCCCGGCGUUUCCGCCACGAUUUGUCGUUUUACGUGGUCGGGGUGUGACAGAAGAGUUGGUAUCAGAGC
This 596-nucleotide long non-coding RNA is filed under the name Helianthus annuus (common sunflower). RNAcentral's name for it is "sRNA HanXRQr2_Chr14g0620441". Lineage: Eukaryota; Viridiplantae; Streptophyta; Magnoliopsida; Asterales; Asteraceae. The record is from RNAcentral.